UAGGGAAUAUUGGACAAUGGGUGAGAGCCUGAUCCAGCCAUGCCGCGUGCAGGAAGAAGGCGUUAUGCGUUGUAAACUGCUUUUGCCAGGGGAUAAAAAGACCGUGCGCGGUUAAUUGAAGGUACCUGGUGAAUAAGCCACGGCUAACUACGUGCCAGCAGCCGCGGUAAUACGUAGGUGGCAAGCGUUGUCCGGAUUUAUUGGGUUUAAAGGGUGCGUAGGUGGCCCUGUAAGUCAGUGGUGAAAUAUCUCAGCUUAACUGAGAGGGUGCCAUUGAUACUGCAGGGCUUGAGUACAGAUGAGGUAGGCGGAAUUGACGGUGUAGCGGUGAAACGCAUAGAUAUCGUCAAGAACACCGAUAGCGAAGGCAGCUUACCAAGCUGUAACUGACACUGAGGCACGAAAGUGUGGGGAUCAAACAGGAUUAGAUACCCCCGUAGUCCCUGAGCGGGCUGGCAAGGCGCAU
RNAcentral lists this ribosomal RNA (466 nucleotides) under uncultured bacterium. Its description in RNAcentral is "bacterial SSU rRNA". It matches the Rfam family "Bacterial small subunit ribosomal RNA", at positions 355 to 825 of the family's 1533-position model. The record is from RNAcentral.